This 479-nucleotide ribosomal RNA is filed under the name uncultured bacterium. Its description in RNAcentral is "partial 16S ribosomal RNA". It matches the Rfam family "Bacterial small subunit ribosomal RNA", at positions 28 to 507 of the family's 1533-position model. The record is from RNAcentral.
GAUGAACGCUGGCGGCGUGCUUAACACAUGCCAGUCGAGCGAGAAGUUUUGAAAAGAUUCUUCGGAUGAAAUUUAAAAUGGAAAGCGGCGGACGGGUGAGUAACGCGUAGGCAACCUGCCCCAUACAAAGGGAUAGCAUUUGGAAACGAAUAUUAAUACCUUAUGAAACUUAACUAGUGCAUGCUAGGUAGGUCAAAGAUUUAUCGGUAUGGGAUGGGCCUGCGUCUGAUUAGCUAGUUGGUGAGGUAACGGCUCACCAAGGCGACGAUCAGUAGCCGACCUGAGAGGGUGAACGGCCACAUUGGAACUGAGACACGGUCCAAACUCCUACGGGAGGCAGCAGUGGGGAAUAUUGCACAAUGGGGGAAACCCUGAUGCAGCAACGCCGCGUGAACGAUGAAGGCCUUUGGGUCGUAAAGUUCUGUUCUAGGUGAUGAAAACUGACAGUAACCUAGGAGAAAGCCCCGGCUAACUCCGUG